MicroRNA precursor from Oryza rufipogon (brownbeard rice), 198 nucleotides. It matches the Rfam family "MIR812 microRNA precursor family". Lineage: Eukaryota; Viridiplantae; Streptophyta; Magnoliopsida; Poales; Poaceae. The record is from Rfam.
UUUCAGUGCAGUUAUAGAUUUUUGUGUCUAACAUUUGACAAUCCGUUAUAUUUAAUUUUUUUUUAUAAUUAAUAUUUUUAUUGUUAUUAGAUGAUAAAACAUGAAUAGAAAUUUAUGCGUGACUUAUUUUUUCAUAAUUUUUUUUAAAUAAUACGGAUUGUCAAAUAUUGGACAUAUAAACUCAUGAGUACACUUUAA